CUUCCAUUAAGCAGAGGUUCUACAAGGAAGCUAGCAUUCCAGAGAGCCAGUUGGUUGCUGAUCAGCCCUCUGUAAGAAAAUGGUGGUUUCAUGCACGUAGUUUAAAAUUUUUUCAUAAUCAAUCUAUGUGUAGCAAAAGUAAAUUAAAUUAAUUUUUUUAAUUUAAAAAUAUAUUAGAUCUCAUCUAUAAACCACAUGCUGGAUCUCAAUGCAAACAUGUCACCAUGAUCUAAAAUUUGAAGUCAAAAACAAAAAUCAUCAGAAGAAAAAUCGG
Molecule: long non-coding RNA, 274 nt
Filed under: Elaeis guineensis (African oil palm)
Lineage: Eukaryota; Viridiplantae; Streptophyta; Magnoliopsida; Arecales; Arecaceae
Description: long non-coding RNA (EGUI_LNC024463)
Source: RNAcentral